GGAAACCUCACCAGGCCCGGACACUGGAAGGAUUGACAGAUUGAGAGCUCUUUCUCGAUUCGGUGGGUGGUGGUGCAUGGCCGUUCUUAGUUGGUGGAGUGAUUUGUCUGGUUAAUUCCGAUAACGAACGAGACUCUGUCCUGCUAAAUAGUGUCAGCCUCUCUUUUGGGCUGACAAUUCUUCUUAGAGGGACUGGCGGCACCUAGCCGCACGAAAUAGAGCAAUAA
Molecule: ribosomal RNA, 227 nt
Filed under: uncultured eukaryote
Lineage: Eukaryota
Description: partial small subunit ribosomal RNA
Rfam family: Eukaryotic small subunit ribosomal RNA
Source: RNAcentral